CUUAUACUCCGAAAAAUACAGUAGAUCAGUUACUCAUGUAGAUAUGCACUCCUUAAAGCUGCCCCAUUUUUUAAAAAAUCCAAAAGCCUUGUUUGAGGAAGAGACGGAAGCCCUUUAACCAUUUUCUUUUUUCUUUCAGUUGUUGAACGUAUGGGGGCCUGUGCAUCCAUGUACAGUCGUUCUAUCCAGGGCCAUCAUGUCUGCCUACUCGUGAAAAAGGGAGAAAACUCUGUGUCCAUUGACGGAAAAUGCGAUGAUUCAACCUUAUUGGGAAAUCUUUUAUCAGAAUUCAAAGAAAACCUGUCAAAAUGCUGAGUGCUCUCAGAAUUGGGCACAGCCCCUCGUCCUUCUGGCCCUCCAGACGAACAGCAUCCCGAGGCUCACGGGACUGAAACCAGUGGAGCAUUCGAUUACUCUCGCUCUGUGCGCAUGUUUGAUCUCCCAGGGCAUGUGUGUUUUCCAUUUCCUCCUCCCUCCUGGGUUGUUGUGUUCGUUCUAUUUUUGUUUCAAUUUUGUUACGGUUUACACAUCUCAGAACUGUGCUCUCCUCUGUUUGGAAUGGUCCGACCAUAGCAAAGAGAUUCCCCGACUGGAUUGACAUCCUGGCAAGGGAGAAAACGGGGUAGAGGAGAUGCAGAAUCCAUAUUGGAAACCCAACCGCAUCCCUGGGUGUGCUUGUGCCUCUCCUGGUGUGAGAGCUGGUCAAUUCCAUUUAUCCUUUUAAACUGCCCGUGCUUAAAAGGAGAAAAAGGUGCCCCUUCCCUGCAACCAAUUGGGAUGCAUCUUCCCUCUUUCCCUACAGCUGUUCCGGAGCAUUUCCUGCUGCCCCAGGCUGGGAUUGGUUGAUCCUCUCUCAUCAGGGUGGGGCUCCCACAGGAAUGUUUAAAGUCCAAUGCAAUAUCUCAUUCCUGGAAUUAACGAAAAGUAGCCUAAUUAGAAGUCCAAAGUCAUUGUGUCUGUGUGGAUUUGAGGGUUUUGUGAUUAUUAUUAUUUUCUUUCUUCUACGUUAGGUUGAACAAUCCUACAGUGGGGCCAAUCUGCCAUGCCCAGCUUUUACAAAGCCUACACUUAAGCAGAUGGCCACAAUCUAGUGACAGUUUGUUUUUGAAAGUGUCCUCACUCCCAUAGUUGCAGCCAGUGAUUUCUUUUUCUUUCUUACUUUUUUUUCUUUUGGCAAACUUUUCUUUUUCUCCUCUGCAAGAUUGGAUGAUAUUAGUGAUGAUCAGUUACAAAUAGGGUGGAGUACCUUGAUGGUUGUUAAACGUUAAUGAGAAAUUGCACAAUGGCAGCCCCUAACUGGAUUUUUUUUAAAUUCUCUCACAAUGAAGCUUCACUAUUGGAUACUCCAAACACUGAUAUUUAGAAUCCUGAACCUGGGGAGGUGGGGGCCGAGGGAGGGGGGACAGGAUGGAACCAACAGAACCCUUUGGUCUCUGGCUUGCAUUAUGUCCUCUAUGUUUCAAGACAUUUGGUGCCUCAAUAUUCUUCUGUGUGGUCAGGGGUCUUUCUUUUUUUUUAAUAUCAGUACAGUAAUUAUGUCUGUUGGGAGCUGAGCUGCAGGAUUUACUGAGAAUAAUUUAGCAUUCUCCCAAUAUUGCAGCAGAGGCUGGUGAAGCAGUUAUGGUAGGGGCGUCCAAACUUGGGAACUUUAAGACUUGUGGACUUCAACUCCCAGAAUUCUCCAACCAGCUGGCUGUGGAAUUCUGUGAGUUGAAGUCCACAAGUCUUAAAAGUUCCCAAGUUUGGACACCCCUGGGUUAUGGCAAGGAGCAAGGCAGGGAGUGUUAUUUGUUGACUUUUUGUGGAUUAGUGCAGAUUUUGUUGGGGGUUUGGAAAUCUGCGCAUAUUCAGAAAUGUCUUAAAAGGGCAAAUGCUCCUUGAAGUUAGUGGAUUUUAAAUAUAUAUAUCUAUACAUAUAUAUAUAUAUAUUCCUGGAUGAAAACUUGUCACUUUAGCAUGUAGAGUCUGUUCUCUUACAGUGAUUCUAAAAAUCUUCUGAAAAUUCUGUACAAUAUGUUAUGUUUAAAAGAAAAAAGUUAUUUACUAUCAACAUUCCCCCACAAAACACAUACCACAAAGCUGCUGUAAGAAUUUUUUUGUGUCAAGAUGAUCGAAUAAAAUUUCAAAACUUACAGAAUUUAAAAA
This is a non-coding RNA of Thamnophis sirtalis, 2145 nucleotides long. The record is from RefSeq and is a predicted model, not a curated record. NCBI's taxonomy places the organism in Eukaryota, Metazoa, Chordata, Lepidosauria, Squamata, Natricidae.